This 229-nucleotide ribosomal RNA is filed under the name uncultured eukaryote. RNAcentral's name for it is "partial 18S ribosomal RNA". The record is from RNAcentral.
UCGUGGGGUGAUCUGUCUGCUUAAUUGCGUUUCGCAAUUGGUCAAUUUUUGACACGCCAUUGCUUGUGCACCAAUGUUGCACUCGCUCUUGGGCGCUGCCUCUUUCUUCGGAUUGAGAAAGCGUUUAAGGGUUUGACAGUGCCGUUGGGUUUUUGUCACUUGUAUGGCGAAUUGGCCUGGAAAGCAACGAACGUGACCGCAGCCUCUUGUUGCCUCAAAUAUUUGUUUU